Molecule: long non-coding RNA, 1535 nt
Filed under: Monodelphis domestica (gray short-tailed opossum)
Lineage: Eukaryota; Metazoa; Chordata; Mammalia; Didelphimorphia; Didelphidae
Description: lncRNA (ENSMODG00000046409.1)
Source: RNAcentral
AUGUGGGAAAGGAAUUAUCCUCUCUCUCUCUCUCUCUCUCUCUCUCUCUCUCUCUCUCUCUCUCUCUCUCUCUCUCUCUCUCUCUCUCUCUCUCUCUCUCUCUCUCUCUCUCUCUGUCUCUCUCUCUUUAUUCUCCUAUGUCUUUCAUUUAUUCUCUUUCCCUAUCUCUGUUUUAAUAAUCUUCCUUCUUUUUUUCUCAUUCUCUUAUUUUAUCCUAUCUUCUUGUGGUUUAUAUAUCUUUCUUCCCAGACCCUAGACCCGAGGUCAGUUAAUGCUCCCUCAUAAUCUCAACCAAUUCAACUAAGUCAUCCACCCCACCCCCCCAUCUUCUUACUGUUGCCAUCUUACUUUCUUCUACCUGGAUAGCAGACAAGCAAAUAAUAAGCACUUAUUAAGCACUCACUAUUUGCUAGGCCCUCUGGUAAGUACUAGGGAUAUGAACCUGAGAGAAAAGAAAGCCAGUUCUGGUCCUUCAGGAGUUAAUAUUCUAAUGAGGUUAAACAACACAUAAAAGAAGAGCUGGAAAGUGGAGGAGGGGAUUCAGAAGCAAGGACAUGGGGAAGGAACCUGAUAUGGGCAGGAUGGUUAAGUAUAGAAAGUCAGAAGCAUAGCUAGGAGAGUAAGGGAGUAUGGCUGACCCAAACCUGUCCUUGAAAUGGGGGCUCCCAGCAUCACUAACCAGAAAGAGAAGAGGUCUGGCAUGGAGGAGGGAUAUUUGAAGAAUAUUAGACAGCUGAGUCAUGGAAAAAGAGGCUAGAGAGUUAGGAGCAUAGCUAGAAGGGAAAAGUACCCUCUGUACAGGAUCAGCACCCUUUUCACAGGACUCUACAAUUAAUCCACUGGCAACUAGACUUCCUGCUUGAGUCUUGGUCAUUAGCAUUAGUAACGUAGGUCAAAUUUAUGAUCUCCUUUUAUCUAGUUGACCUAAGACUCCAAAACUCUGAAAAUAUCUACAUUCCUUCAUAUGUCAUCAAUACCUCAAUCCAUAUCAUCUUGUCAUCAACCUAUCAUUACAUGGACGCUCUUACCAUCCCCCUUUCUGUCUCUUACACUGGGCAUGAUUAUGUAAUAUAUUUCCUCUGGAAAGAGUAUGUUAAUUGACUGUAUUUACUCACCAGCCUGUGAUUCCCCUUAGCAAAAAAAAAAAAUUCUCUUGCCUGUUUUCACCACUCAUCUACAUGAAUUAACUCCCUCUUUAUUUAAAAAAAAUUUUUUUUAAACCCUUACCUUCCAUCAUGGAGUCAAUAUUGGCUCCAAGGCAGAAGAGUGGUAAGGGCUAGGCAAUGGGGGUCAAGUGACUUGCCCAGGGUCACACAACUGGGAAGUGUCUGAGACCAGAUUUGAACCCAGGACCUCCCAUCUCUAGGCCUGGCUCUCAAUCCACUGAACCAUCCAGCUGCCCCCUAACUCCCUCUUUAGAAUGUAAGUUCAAUGAGAGCAGGCACUGCUUCACUUUUUGAAUUUACAUAUCCAUUGUUUAGCACUAUGCCUGGCACAUUAUAAACCUUUAAUAAAUUAGUUUUCAUUUUCUCUCA